GACGAACGCUGGCGGCGUGCUUAACACAUGCAAGUCGAGCGAGGCCCCUCCUUCGGGAGGGUGUCCUAGCGGCGAACGGGUGAGUAACACGUGGGCAACCUGCCCUCAGCUCUGGGAUAACUCCGGGAAACCGGGGCUAAUACCGGAUACGACCUCCACGGGCAUCUGCGGAGGUGGAAAGUUUUUCGGCUGAGGAUGGGCCCGCGGCCUAUCAGCUAGUUGGUGGGGUAGUGGCCCACCAAGGCGACGACGGGUAGUCGGCCUGAGAGGGCGACCGGCCACACUGGGACUGAGACACGGCCCAGACUCCUACGGGAGGCAGCAGUGGGGAAUAUUGCGCAAUGGGCGAAAGCCUGACGCAGCGACGCCGCGUGAGGGACGAAGGCCUUCGGGUUGUAAACCUCUUUCAGCAGGGACGAAGCGAAAGUGACGGUACCUGCAGAAGAAGCACCGGCCAACUACGUG
RNAcentral lists this ribosomal RNA (465 nucleotides) under uncultured bacterium. RNAcentral's name for it is "partial 16S ribosomal RNA". It matches the Rfam family "Bacterial small subunit ribosomal RNA", at positions 28 to 507 of the family's 1533-position model. The record is from RNAcentral.